RNAcentral lists this unclassified non-coding RNA (430 nucleotides) under soil metagenome. Its description in RNAcentral is "partial contains 5.8S ribosomal RNA, internal transcribed spacer 2, and large subunit ribosomal RNA". The stretch from base 1 to 120 matches the Rfam family "5.8S ribosomal RNA", at positions 35 to 154 of the family's 154-position model. The record is from RNAcentral.
GAUGAAGAACGUAGCGAAAUGCGAUACGUAAUGUGAAUUGCAGAAUUCAGUGAAUCAUCGAAUCUUUGAACGCAUAUUGCGCUCUCUGGUAUUCCGGAGAGCAUGCUUGUUUGAGUAUCAGUAAACACCUCAACUCCCUUUUCUUUUUUGAAAUUGGAGCUGGACUUGAGUGAUCCCAACGCUUUCUUCCAAGAAAGUGACGGGUUGCUUGAAAUGCAGGUGCAGCUGAACUUUUCUCUGAGCUAUAAGCAUAUCUAUUUAGUCUGCCUAAAAAACAGAUUAUUACCUUUGCUGCAGCUAACAUAAAGGAGACUAGUUCUUGUGCUGACUGAUGCAGGAUUCACAGAGACAGCUUCGGCUGACUUUGUAAACUCGAUCUCAAAUCAAGUAAGACUACCCGCUGAACUUAAGCAUAUCAAUAAGCGGAGGA